UACGUAGGGUGCGAGCGUUGUCCGGAAUUACUGGGCGUAAAGCGUGCGCAGGCGGUUCGUUGUGUCGGCGGUGAAAUCCCCGGGCUCAACCUGGGAAUGGCCGUUGAAACUGGCGAACUGGAGUGUGGCAGAGGGGGGUGGAAUUCCGCGUGUAGCAGUGAAAUGCGUAGAGAUGCGGAGGAACACCGAUGGCGAAGGCAGCCCCCCUGGGCUGACACUGACGCUCAGGCACGAAAGCGUGGGGAGCAAACAGG
Molecule: ribosomal RNA, 254 nt
Filed under: uncultured bacterium
Lineage: Bacteria
Description: partial 16S ribosomal RNA
Rfam family: Bacterial small subunit ribosomal RNA
Source: RNAcentral